Molecule: long non-coding RNA, 1237 nt
Organism: Neofelis nebulosa (Clouded leopard)
Lineage: Eukaryota; Metazoa; Chordata; Mammalia; Carnivora; Felidae
Exons: 2
Source: RefSeq, a predicted model, not a curated record
UUCUGAUAUUCAGCCUACUCUUGGUUCUUUGGAUGUUAUGGAUCUGGGUGUUCAUCUCUUCCCCUGGAGACAUGGGAAGUCAUCUGUCCUGAAGUCAGUGUUUGUGGGGGUGUGGAGGCUGGGCUCUCCUGGUCCGCCAUCUUGCUGCCAGCACUCCAGGCAUCUCCCCCUUUGCUGCUUUAGACAUGGUUUCCUUUGGUUCUUUGAGCAUACUUAAAAGAGCUGAUUUAAAGAUUUUGUCUGGAGAAGACAGUGUAAAGAUAGAGCUGAGAGAUUUGAGGAUGCUGACAUUGAAGCCUGGAGGGAUGUGUCCACAAGCCAAGGAAUGCCUACAGCCACCAGAACCUGAAAGAGGCAAGGGAUGGAUUCUUUCCUAGAGCCACUGGAGGAGGCACUGCACUGACUGUACCUUGAUUUCAGCCCAGUGAGACUGAUUUCAUACUUUUGUCCUCCAGAACUGUAAGAUGAUACAUUUCUGUUGUUUUAAGGCACUAAACGUGUAGUAAUUUGUUACAGAGCCCUAAGAAACAUACAGGAGAUGUUUGAUCAUUUUUAUGGUUUGGACAAUGUCCUUGUUUUUGUCCAAGUUCAUGGGUUAUGGGUUGAAUUGUCUACUCCUCAAGUUCAUAUGUUAAAGUUCUAACCCCCAGUACUGUAGAAUAUGACCUUAUUUAGAAAUGGCCAGUAGUGUGGGCCCCUAAACCAAUAUGACUUGUGUCCUUACAAAAAAGGGAUACGUAGACAGAGAUGCACUACAGGGGGAGCACCAUGUGGAAAUCGGAGUUCUGUUGCCAUAAGCCCAGGAACCACCAGAAGUUAGGAGAGAGGCCCGGAACCGCUCCUUCCCUUGCACCUUCAGAGAAAGCGUGGUCUCGCAGACACCUUGAUCACAGGCUUCCAGUCUCCAGAACUGCCAGACCUUACGUGUUAUCUAAUCCGUGUAGUUUGUGGUACUUUGUUACGGCUUCCUGGCCAAUGAGUACAGUUCAGAGAUGAUUACAGAGUGGUCUUGCUUUUGUCUUGCCUGUGACCUUGUCUGACGUUGACAUUGUAUGAAAUUGUUUAUGUUCGACAGGAAAACUCCAGCGCCUAGCUGUGAGUGCUGGGCCAGCUCUCCCAAAUGUCAGGGACCGCUUUUCUCUUUCUUAUCACAGAAUCUUUACUCAUCUGAUAAAUGUUCACUUUAUGUUGUCUUUAAGCAUUCUAACUAAUUCUUUCUAAAAAUAUUUAAACCUUU